CAAGUCGAACGGAAACGAUGUUAGCUUGCUAACAGGCGUCGAGUGGCGGACGGGUGAGUAACGCGUAGGAAUCUACCAAAUAGCGGGGGAUAGCCCGGAGAAAUCCGGAUUAAUACCGCAUAAUCUCUACGGAGUAAAGGGGGCCUCUAUUUAUAAGCUUUCACUAUUUGAUGAGCCUGCGUAAGAUUAGCUUGUUGGUAGGGUAAAGGCCUACCAAGGCGACGAUCCGUAGCUGGUCUGAGAGGACGACCAGCCACACUGGAACUGAGACACGGUCCAGACUCC
Molecule: ribosomal RNA, 285 nt
Filed under: unidentified marine bacterioplankton
Lineage: Bacteria
Description: partial 16S ribosomal RNA
Rfam family: Bacterial small subunit ribosomal RNA
Source: RNAcentral